UACAGAGGCCUCAAGCGUUAGGCGGAAUCACUGGGCUUAAAGCGUGUGUAGGUGGAUGCCUAAGUACCUUGUGAAAUCCCACGGCUUAACCAUGGAAUUGCUUGGUAUACUGGGUGUCUUGAGCCACUCAGGGGCUACCGGAACAAACGGUGGAGCGGUGAAAUACGUAGAUAUCGUUUGGAACGCCAAUGGUGAAAACAGGUAGCUGGGGGUGUGCUGACACUGAGACACGAAAGCCAGGGGAGCAAACGGG
This 253-nucleotide ribosomal RNA is filed under the name uncultured bacterium. RNAcentral describes it as "partial 16S ribosomal RNA". It matches the Rfam family "Bacterial small subunit ribosomal RNA", at positions 524 to 776 of the family's 1533-position model. The record is from RNAcentral.